Molecule: ribosomal RNA, 229 nt
Filed under: uncultured bacterium
Lineage: Bacteria
Description: partial 16S ribosomal RNA
Rfam family: Bacterial small subunit ribosomal RNA
Source: RNAcentral
UGCGUAGGCGGAUUAAUAAGUCAGUGGUGAAAUCUCUCGGCUCAACCGGGAAACUGCCAUUGAUACUGUUAAUCUUGAGUUCGGUUGAGGUAGGCGGAAUGUGUAAUGUAGCGGUGAAAUGCUUAGAUAUUACACAGAACACCAAUUGCGUAGGCAGCUUACUAGACCGACACUGACGCUGAGGCACGAAAGCGUGGGGAGCGAACAGGAUUAGAUACCCUGGUAGUCC